CAGAUGGGAGCUUGCUCCCUGAAGUCAGCGGCGGACGGGUGAGUAACACGUGGGCAACCUGCCUGUAAGACUGGGAUAACUCCGGGAAACCGGGGCUAAUACCGGAUAACUCUUUUCCUCACAUGAGGAAAAGCUGAAAGAUGGUUUCGGCUAUCACUUACAGAUGGGCCCGCGGCGCAUUAGCUAGUUGGUGAGGUAACGGCUCACCAAGGCCACGAUGCGUAGCCGACCUGAGAGGGUGAUCGGCCACACUGGGACUGAGACACGGCCCAGACUCCUACGGGAGGCAGCAGUAGGGAAUCUUCCGCAAUGGACGAAAGUCUGACGGAGCAACGCCGCGUGAGUGAUGAAGGUUUUCGGAUCGUAAAACUCUGUUGUCAGGGAAGAACAAGUACCGGAGUAACUGCCGGUACCUUGACGGUACCUGACCAGAAAGCCACGGCUAACUACGUGCCAGCAGCCGCGGUAAUACGUAGGUGGCAAGCGUUGUCCGGAAUUAUUGGGCGUAAAGCGCGCGCAGGCGGUUCCUUAAGUCUGAUGUGAAAGCCCCCGGCUCAACCGGGGAGGGUCAUUGGAAACUGGGGAACUUGAGUGCAGAAGAGAAGAGUGGAAUUCCACGUGUAGCGGUGAAAUGCGUAGAGAUGUGGAGGAACACCAGUGGCGAAGGCGACUCUUUGGUCUGUAACUGACGCUGAGGCGCGAAAG
Molecule: ribosomal RNA, 705 nt
Filed under: Bacillus sp. (in: firmicutes)
Lineage: Bacteria; Bacillati; Bacillota; Bacilli; Caryophanales; Bacillaceae
Description: bacterial SSU rRNA
Rfam family: Bacterial small subunit ribosomal RNA
Source: RNAcentral